RNAcentral lists this long non-coding RNA (3365 nucleotides) under Prunus dulcis (almond). RNAcentral describes it as "sRNA ncRNA". The record is from RNAcentral. Lineage: Eukaryota; Viridiplantae; Streptophyta; Magnoliopsida; Rosales; Rosaceae.
AUUAUUAUAAUUGAUUUUGUAUUUAACAAGUUGGUGGGUGCUGGUGUUGCAGAUCUUUGGGUGAUGGAGAAUCUGGGUCAAAGUUUUCGAGCCCGGUCACUGAAUCUAAUAGCCAGGAUGCAUCACUCAUUGCUUUCAGUUCCUACCCUCAAUGCUCCGUUGCUCAUGCGACACUACUUCUCUGCCCCUAGUUUCCUUGUCUCUAACUUUCCCAGCAACCAGGAAUUGGUGGAGCCGGUGACGCCAGACUAUGAUGAGGAGAGAGUCGAACAAUGUUGACGGGUCAUGGCGGUUGAACUUCGACGGUUUCCAGGUGUCCUCAGAGAGCACAAGGAGAAAAGACUUCCCCGUGGCCUCCAUGACUGCCUGGGGGUUUUAGGUAAUUUCGCAUCUUCACCUUCAUUGUUAAAGGAAUGGUAUAUUUGUUGUGAUGAUAUUUCUUUUUACUUUUUUAUGGUCUCAACUCAAAUGCCAAUAUUCUGUUGCGUGCUUUGGUAUCCCAGAAUUUUUCUUGUUUUGGUAGCUCACUUUUCUUUUUCUUUUUUUGUUAAUGAAUUAAACAAGUUGGACUCAUUUUUGUGGUGAGAUUUUAAUUUUUCUUUUUCUUACAUAUGAAUAUAAUUGCGAUUCCAAAGGGUGUGGAGGAUAUAAUUUGCCAUAUAAAAAAAUGUAAUCGGAAAGCUUAAAGUGGAGGUGAAUUGGAAACAUUUGUGGGAGAGUGCUGGAGAUGAGCGGUUUAUAGUUUAUGGGUUUUUUUUAAUGUGCUCUGUGUUAUGCAAAGUGUCUUUAGGAUUGUUGGGUUCCUUACUUGUGCUGCCCCUUGUAUUGAAUGAUCUUCAGGUUGUGUGUGAUGGAGAUUGAAACUAAUUUUUAUUCAAUGUUUUCCAGACCUGUAAUGGCAAGGUCAUGGUGCAUGCUCUACUGUAUCUCGUUCUUGGUGUAUAUUCUUCACAUGGUUUUAUUUGUUAAAAAUUAUAGUGUUGCUGAGUUCGUAUAUCUUGACAAUUAUUAGCUUGAUGACUAUCUUUAUUUUUCUUUCAAAAGAUUAAUGUGAAUUCUUUUCUUGUGUUAGCUUUCAUUUCAUAUUUUAGAGUUUUUAUCACUUUUCAAUCUUUUGUUUUUGUAAGAUUACAUUUUCCCUUUGUAUAAAGUAAUUAGUGUUUUUAACACGUAAAAAAUGUAGCCAUGUUGUUUAGUGCAGGAGAAGCUGCGUAAUAGUUGAAGCUGCCAUUAUGGUUUUUGCUGUAAAAAUUUCAAGGUUAAGGCAAUUCAAUUUUAGUUCUGCGUUUAUGACUUUUAUUGUAUAUUAGUUUCAUAGUUGGUCAUUUCAUAUUAAUAUUCUUUCAAUAGUUAAUAGCCACAUUUGUAUGAAAACUUGAUCAUAUUUGCACUGUAGUCUCUUAGGAAAAUGGAAAGGGAAAAAAAAAAAAAAAAAAAAAGGUAAGUCUUAAAGGAGAAAAAAUGAUUAGAAAGAGAUUCAAAUUUUCUGUUGUAAGUCCAGUUUAAUGGCCUUGUUGAAAUUAUAUAAAGACAAUAUCUAGUUUGAGGUUUCUUGUUUGUGGAUGUGGGUGUCCGAAUCUAACAAAGUUGUAAUUCCUUUCAUUGCGAAAUAAGGAAGUCAGUAUGGGUUUUCCUCAAAAUUUGGCCACUUGCCGAUCGAAUUGGACUUUGAGUCAAGGUAUAAACUUGCUCCCCCUUGUUGUGCUUGUUGAUACAUAUGGAUUCUGUGAUUAAGUUUUUUUUUACAGAUGCUAAUGCAAUUACCAAAAUCCUGUUUGGCAAUUGUCUUUGAUACAAUUACAUGUAUUUUUUAUUUUGUUCCACAUGCAGUGCAUUCCAUUGAUGCAAUUAGAUGUCACAUAUUCAAUUACCUACUUCAUGUCUACCAAUUGGAUAUUUGUAAAUCCAAUUGUGUUCCAAGUUUGCAUAAUAUGCAUAAUUUUGUUUUUAUCUUCCAUUAAUCCAGCUCUGUGCUAAGUAAAUCCUUUGCCUUUUGAUCUUUGCCAUUUGAUUGAUUGUUGAGAAUAUGUUUAGUUUUCUCUCUUUUUUUUUUCUUUUUUUUUUUUGUGAAUUCCACUUAUGCAAUUGGAUUUGACAUGUUCAUUUACCUGCUUCCUGUCUGUCAAUUGGAUUUUUGUGAACCCAAUUGCACUUCAAUUACCUUGUGUACAAUGUUUGUUAUUUACUUGUCAUUAAGUUAUUAACACUUGCAAUGAAAGUAGAAGUUAAUUGAUAUACUAAAUUCUAUUGUUUUUUUUUUACUUUUACGUACUUAAUCAUGGAAGAGAAGAACAAUUAAAUUAACAGUGAUUGUUUGGCAAUUACAUAUUCAUUUUUUUAAAAAGAAAGAACAGAAUGGCAAUUACAUAGUGCAUGUUUGUCAAUUGCCAACAUGACAUGGUUGUGUUGUAGCAAAAUAAAGGAAUUUUGUAUGAGCUCGGUGACGUAAGACAUGGGCUAAAUUGAAGAUGAGAGUGAUGUGGGAAAGUUCCAGUCCUUUUUUUUUUUUUUUUUUUGGUAGUGGAAUAUGGUUCAGUUUUUAUUUUUAUUUUUAUUGUUAUUUAGGUUUCAGUCUUUAUGUUAUUGGCAGCUUUUUCAAUUUUGAGAAUGGAAAUACAUUAUGUCAUUUUGUCAAUGCAAUUGACAAACAGGUAGUGUCAUUUGCAUCCUAGUCUUCGUAAUUGACAAACAAAGUAGUCCCAUUUACAUUCCAAUCGCGUAAUUACAAGCUAUAAUUGAUUAACAUAAAUAAAGUUACAAAACAUUAUAUUUCUCACAUGUUAAGCUCUUUUUAUACUUAAAAGUUUUUCUUUAUGCUAAGUCAUGUCUCACUUUUCAAUAAUGAAGGAAUAUGCACAAAUGAUUUUCAAAUUUGAGAAUGUCCAUACAGUAUGUAAUUUGUAAAUUCAAUUGACAAACAGGCAGUGUCAUUUGCAAUCGUGUCUUGCAAUUGACAAACGAAGGAGUCUCAUUUACAGUCUACUUGCGCAAUUACAAGCUAUAAUCGACAGACAUAAAUAAAGUUACAAAGUACUAUAGUUAUCACAUGUUAAGCUUUUUUUCUUCUUAAAACUAUUUUUUGUUAAAAUUAUUUGGAUUUAUAUAAAGAUACCCAAGUUUUAUUGUUUUGAAUAUGGAUAUUUUGUAGCAAAAUAAGGAAAUUUAUACAAGAUUGCAAGUUGGCGUGAUGGAUGUUGAGACAUUGGAGUGCAAGCUGGCGUGAUGGCUUUUCCAAGUGGCUUUAUGAGUUUAUAAGGACUUAUUGUCCAAGUCCAAAUAGAAAAUAUUAGUUUAAUCAUUUACAAACUUUUAUAACAUUUGAAUUGUACCAUACAUUUGGCCAAGUUAUAAUAUUUCAAUUUUAC